Long non-coding RNA from Rhinolophus ferrumequinum (greater horseshoe bat), 533 nucleotides. RefSeq lists it as uncharacterized. Lineage: Eukaryota; Metazoa; Chordata; Mammalia; Chiroptera; Rhinolophidae. The transcript has 4 exons. The record is from RefSeq and is a predicted model, not a curated record.
GAUUUCAGUGAAACUCCUGCUAUUCUAAGAAGCUGUAUUUGGUGUACAGUGGGGAGGAGCAAGGAAACAAACUCUCCAGUCUGUUUCCUAGUCUGGCUCAGUCGGACAGCGUCUGAAGGAGCUCAAGCAGAGAACUUGGUCUGCUCCCCAAGGGGGGAGUUCUGAUACCUUGAGAAGAUGACUGCAAAAGAAGUAGGGUCCGCGCUUGCCUUCUCACUCUCCUACUCCGUCAUGAAAAUGUCUCUGCAUGCAGGAGCCACUGGGGCUGCAGUGUGGCCCUGUGUUGCUCUGGGCUGCGUUGCUAUCCUCGCUGUCACCUUCCUCGUCAACAAUAAGAUGAAAAAUAAACAGAAAUAGUAAAAUGUGUUCACAGGAAUCCUCUACAGUCCUCCCCUCACCGUGGACAUGGGAGGCCCCACCUUCCUGGGGAACAUUGUGAAGCAACGUGGUACACACGGUUUAUAUUUUGGGUGUGAAUGAAGUCAACUUUUGGGCAAAAUAAAAACUGACCUGAAGCUAAUGAAAAAAAUUAA